GGAUUUGGUCCAUGGGCGAAGCCUGACCAGCAACGCCGCGUGNACGAUGAAGGUCUUCGGAUCGUAAAGNACUUUUCUGAGAGAUGAGAAAGGACAGUAUCUCAGGAAUAAGCCUCGGCUAACUACGUGCCAGCAGCCGCGGUAANACGUAGGAGGCAAGCGUUAUCCGGAUUUACUNGGGCGUAAAGCGCGUGUAGGCGGUUCGGCAAGUUGGAUGUGAAAGCUCCUGGCUCAACUGGGAGAGGUCGUUCAAUACUACCGAACUUGAGGUCAUCAGAGGAGAGUGGAAUUCCCGGUGUAGUGGUGAAAUGCCGUAGAUAUCGGGAGGAACACCAGUGGCGAAAGCGGCUCUCUGGGAUGAUCCUGACGCUCAGACGCGAAAGCUAGGGUAGCAAACGGGAUUAGAGACCCCGGUAGUCCUAGCAGUAAACGAUGUAGACUUGGCGUCGGUGGGUUCAAAACCAUCGGUGUCGAAGCUAACGCGAUAAGUCUACCGCCUGGGGACUACGGCCGCAAGGUUAAAACUCAAAAAAAUUGACGGA
RNAcentral lists this ribosomal RNA (542 nucleotides) under uncultured bacterium. RNAcentral's name for it is "bacterial SSU rRNA". It matches the Rfam family "Bacterial small subunit ribosomal RNA", at positions 359 to 917 of the family's 1533-position model. The record is from RNAcentral.